UGCCCUCAAAGAUGAGCCAUAUUAUCAAUUCAGUUAUCCCUGUCUGAACAACGCUUGUUGACUACAUUUUACUCUGAGAGACUA
This 84-nucleotide small nucleolar RNA is filed under the name Fonsecaea multimorphosa CBS 102226. RNAcentral's name for it is "Small nucleolar RNA R38". It matches the Rfam family "Small nucleolar RNA R38". From Rfam's summary of the family: snoR38 is a C/D box small nucleolar RNA conserved across yeast, human, Arabidopsis and rice. It is encoded in the intron of elongation factor-1 gamma in both pombe and cerevisiae. snoR38 guides the methylation of 2'-O-ribose sites in 28S rRNA. The record is from Rfam by way of RNAcentral. Lineage: Eukaryota; Fungi; Ascomycota; Eurotiomycetes; Chaetothyriales; Herpotrichiellaceae.